RNAcentral lists this ribosomal RNA (511 nucleotides) under uncultured bacterium. RNAcentral describes it as "bacterial SSU rRNA". It matches the Rfam family "Bacterial small subunit ribosomal RNA", at positions 15 to 518 of the family's 1533-position model. The record is from RNAcentral.
GAUCCUGGCUCAGGAUGAACGCUAGCGACAGGCUAACACAUGCAAGUCGAGGGGCAGCAUAGAAGUAGCAAUACUUGGUGGCGACCGGCGCACGGGUGAGUAACGCGUAUGCAACCUACCUAUCAGGAGGGGAAUAACCCGGCGAAAGUCGGACUAAUACCGCAUAAAACAGGGGCACCGCAUGGUGAUAUUUGUUAAAGAAAUUCGCUGAUAGAUGGGCAUGCGUUCCAUUAGGUAGUUGGUGAGGUAACGGCUCACCAAGCCGACGAUGGAUAGGGGAACUGAGAGGUUGGUCCCCCACACUGGUACUGAGACACGGACCAGACUCCUACGGGAGGCAGCAGUGAGGAAUAUUGGUCAAUGGGCGGGAGCCUGAACCAGCCAAGUCGCGUGAAAGGAAGAAGGAUCUAUGGUUCGUAAACUUCCUUUGCAGGGGAAUAAAGUGCAGGACGUGUCCUGUUUUGUAUGUACCCUGAGAAUAAGGAUCGGCUAACUCCGUGCCAGCCGCUGC